This 240-nucleotide unclassified non-coding RNA is filed under the name soil metagenome. RNAcentral's name for it is "partial contains 5.8S ribosomal RNA, internal transcribed spacer 2, and large subunit ribosomal RNA". The record is from RNAcentral.
AACAUCGCGCACCUGCGGGAACCUGCGGAGGGAUCAUUACCGAGUGUGAACCCCCCCGUAAAAAAGAGGGGUUACCUCCCGUCCUUUGCUGGGAACCCCUUUCCAACUUGGAAGGAGGUUGUUUUCAGACCCUUCUGCUUCGGUGGGGUAACCCACCGGAACAACCUCAAAAAUAUUCUCAAUUCAAAACCGUUCAGUCCGAGAACUUUUUUGAAAAGCGAAAAAACUUUUAGCAACGGA